This is a long non-coding RNA of Alnus glutinosa, 1321 nucleotides long. RefSeq lists it as uncharacterized. The record is from RefSeq and is a predicted model, not a curated record. Lineage: Eukaryota; Viridiplantae; Streptophyta; Magnoliopsida; Fagales; Betulaceae. The transcript is spliced from 2 exons.
UAUAUCGGGACCGUCCCUCUUCAAUAAACACGAGAACUUCUCCUUUCUUCCUUCUUUUCUUAUUUUAUUUUCUUCCUUUUCUCUUCUUUCUUUCCUAUGCUUCCGAUUCUCUCUUUCUCGACGAACCCAGAAACCGUGAGAGACAAGGAGAGCGGAGAGUAACCGAUCAACAUAGAGAGUGAGAGAUGAGAGAAGCCGGGAGAGAUGAAACGGAGAGAGAGCUUGAUCGGGAGAAUCAGAGACUGGAGGGAGAGCCGGAGGUCCGAUCCUUUGACGGUUCAGUGGUGGGCCAGAGUAGACAACGCCGACGGAGCCAGAGAACUCGAUCGUUGAUGGGUCGUCAUCGUGAACCCAGAGUCUACGCUUCGGUUAUGUGCUUCAUGAAGACUCUGUGCAGAAUUCAAGACAGUGAAGUUCAGAUUCCUUGCACCUGUUCGCCGGUAUUCCAUCUAGACACUCAUCAGUUAAGCAACAUACGUUCGGACGACGAGAACUUUCCGUCCGGACUCCCAUCUGCAUCUAGAAGCUUCGAACUGUUCCAGGUUACAUCUGUUCGGACGACUCAACAACAUGUCCGAAUGCCUUUCAGUGUUCGACAAGUAAAAGGAUUUUCUUUCCAAACACAGAUAUGAGAAGACAGUUGCAACCGUUCGGACGACGUAGUUAUUCCGUCCGGACGCUAUCUUUGAUAAGGCAAGACGUGUAGAAGAGUUACAACCGUCUGGAUGUCAGUCUACACUGUCUAGACGCUCAGUCCUUAUAAUGGAAAUUGUGUGCAGCAGAAGUACAACCGUCUGGACACUAAGGCAACAUCAUCCAGACACGGCUCUAUUUAGAAAAGAAUUUCAGCGAAUUUGGAAAGCUAGUUGCACAGUUGUCCGUCCGAACGCCACCUAGAGAAAAUCAAUUCAGACUCGAUUUAGGUCUUCUAUAGCCUAUAAAUAAAGGCCUCUAGGCAUGUAAUUUGUAAGAAUUUGGUAUUGAAUUCCUUAGAGCUUAGAGAGUAUAUUUUAGGAGUUGUUGUGUUGAUCCAGUUGCUCUCAAGCUGUUGCCAAAGUGUUGUUGUUGUGUUCAUGUGAAGUCUAUCUUAGGGAGGACCCCUAAGGUAAAUGAUUUCAUUGAAAACCCCUUCAAGUAGGUAACUUGGUUGGGAGGCGUUCGCAUUGGGUGAUGCGUCAAAGUUCAAAGUACGACCACCGCAUAAAGGUAUGUGAGUGCUACUGCUUUGAAACUAGCUUUGUCUUCUAAAUAUUGGAUAUCUUGAGUUUCGCUGUCCCAGAGUGGUUUCUCUCUUAAUUUAGUUUCCACUUCGUUAACAAAA